UAAACAGAGAGUUACACGGGCUAAGGACACAGGCGUGUCCCAAGCCACAUAGGCAUGUGGCUCUCCACAGUAUGAAAAUUUUCUAAGUGUAGUAAAAGUUCCAAUAGUUUUCAGUUUAGUCCUGAACCACUCCCAACGUAUGUUUUGGGCCUCAUGGGCCUGUAUAAGGGAUGAUAUGCAUGUGAUUGGAUGAAUUUGAUUUGGAC
RNAcentral lists this long non-coding RNA (206 nucleotides) under Gossypium barbadense (sea-island cotton). Its description in RNAcentral is "long non-coding RNA (GBAR_LNC007390)". The record is from RNAcentral. Lineage: Eukaryota; Viridiplantae; Streptophyta; Magnoliopsida; Malvales; Malvaceae.